UCCAUGUGUGACAGUGUCAGGUGGGUCCAGGUGAGACAGUGCAGGUGGGUCCAGGUGAGACAGAGUGUCAGGUGGGUCCAGGUGUAACAGAGUGUCAGGUGGGUCCAGGUGUAACAGAGAGUCAGAUGGGUCCAGGUGUGACAGUGUCAGACGGGUCCAGGUGAGACAGAGCCAGGUGGGUCCAGGUGUAAUAGAGUGUCAGGUGGGUCCAGGUGAGACAGUGUCAGGUGGGUCCAGGUGAGACAGUGUCAGACAGGUCGAGGUGUGACAGUGUCAGGUGGGUCCAGGUGUGACUGAGUAUCAAUCAGAUGGGUCCAGGUGUGACAGUGUCAGGUGGGUCCAGGUGAGACAGUGUCAGACAGGUCCAGGUGUAACAGAGUGUCAGACGGGUCCAGGUGUGACAGAGUAUCACAUGGGUCCAGGUGUAACAGUGUCAGGUGGGUCCAGGUGUGACAGUGUUAGACAGGUCCAGGUGAGACAGUGUCAGGUGGGUCCAGGUGAGACAGUGUCAGAUAGGUCCAGGUGUAACAGAGUGUCAGACGGGUUCAGGUGUAACAGUGUCAGACAGGUCCAGGUGAGACAGUGUCAGGUGGGUCCAGGUGAGACAGUGUCAGGUGGGUCCAGGUGUGACAGAGUUUCAGACGGAUCCAGGUGUAACAGUGUCAGACAGGUCCAGGUGAGACAGUGUUAGAUGGGUCCAGGUGUGAGACAGUGUCAGAUGGGUCCAGGUGUAACAGUGUCAGAUCAUUGUCCAGGUGUGACAGAGUGUCAGAUGGGUCUAGGUGAGACAGAGUGUCAGACAGGUCCAGGUGAGACAGUGUCAGACGGGUCCAGGUGUGACAGAGUGUCAGACGGAUCCAGGUGUGACAGAGUGUCAGAUCAGGGUCCAGGUGUGACAGUGUCAGGUGGGUCCAGGUGAGACAGUGUCAGGUGGGUCCAGGUGUGACAGUGUCAGAUGGGUCCAGGUGAGACAGUGUCAGGUGGGUCCAGGUGAGACAGUGUCAGGUGGGUCCAGGUGAGACAGUGUCAGGUGGGUCCAGGUGUGACAGAGUUUCAGACAGAUCCAGGUGUGACAGAGUGUCAGAUCAGGGUCCAGGUGAGACAGUGUCAGGUGGGUCCAGGUGUGACAGAGUGUCAGAAGGAUCCAGGUGUGACAGUGUCAGAUCAGGGUCCAGGUGUGACAGUGUCAUGUGGGUCCAGGUGAGACAGAGUGUCAGAUGCCUCCAUGUACAGAGGCCCUCGGCCCAGCUUGGACGCCUGCGGGCGCAGGAUUAGCGGCCUCCCAUCUGUCACGAGCUUUAGCGGGAGCUUAAGGAGAUGACACGCUAAGUCGAGGCCGCAGGGGCGUGUGACCAGGUCUGGGCCUAGGUCUCGGCGUGGCCACCCUGUGGCAUCCCCUGUGGCGUCCCCCGUGGCCUCCCCCAUGGCUGGGGUGCUGGGUGCUUCCCGCUGGGCCGGGUCACAGGGCCGCAGAGGCUUCCUGUUUCUGGCUCAUUCAUGGUGACAAGGUGCUUCCGGGACAGUGCACAGGCCCGAGUCACCGUCCUGUCAGUCGGCCUGGGACAGUGCCUGUGUCUGUCCUGAGGGCCUCACCCAAGGGAUGGGGGCGUCCUGCUCCCCCAGCCCGGCCGCCUCGCCACCCCCUGCUCUAAGCCCCCCCAGACUGGCCUGGUGUCCCUCACCCUGAACCCCGCCAGCAGCACCGCCCUCAUAGCAAGGAGCCCCAGGCGGGGGGCCGGGUGGGGGUCUUGGGGUGUGGAGGGCCGAGGGGGGCUGGCAGCCAUUGCCUCCCCUCACUCCUCGUUUUCCUGGUGAGGGCCGGGGGGUGACUUUCCUCCUCUCAGCAUGUGUGUCCUGUGUGCACACACGUGCCCUCUGCAUACUGUGUUUGGGGGUCUUGUGCACAUGUGUGCUUAGCAUGCUCGUGUUCCGUGCACUCGUGCUGGGCACUUCCCUCCUGCCGGGCAUACCCGGGUCCUGCUGAAGUGGCAGAUUCCCGGGGCGGGGCGGGGCGGGGUGGGGGGGCCGCCCUCCCCACGGGCAGCAGGCAGCAGGGCAGCAAGGGCAGCAAGGGCACACCCCACUGCAGGAGGACGCCCGGAGCCUGGCUCGCCCGGGCGAGUCCCAACGGCUCCCCCAGUUGGCUCUGAGGCCGCCCUGCCCCCACCCAGGGCACGGGACCCCCACACGGCACCCCCACUCUGCACCCCACCUGACACCAGGAGUCGGGCUUGGUGCUCCCGGCACCUCUGGGGGGUGGGGUCACCUGGGGACACGGCACCCAGGGCCAGAGGCAUGUCCGCCACGGUCCACUGAGCAGGACGCCUGCCCCCGAGCCCUGAGGUCCCCCACUACUUUGGGAGGGUCCCAGAGCCGGAUCCCACCUUGGCUUUUUUUUUCUUUUUUGCCAGAGCACUGCUCAGCUCUGGCUUAUGGCGGUGUGGGGGAUUGAACCUGGGAUUUGAGAGCCUCAGGCAUGAAAAUCUCUGCAUAACCAUUAUGCUGUCUCCCCACUCCCGCCUUGGCUUUUUAAAGCUUUCCCUUUUUUUUUUUUUUUUUUUUUGUUAACGUGUGAGAGAGAGACAGACAGGGAGACAGAUAAAUACCUAUGCAUCUGUAGGUAGAGUCCAGAGCCUGCUGAGCCCUGGCUGAGGGUAGUGCUGGGGAUUGAACCUGGGACCUCAGAGCCUCAGGUGAGGGGGGUCUUGAGCUGUCUCCUUGGCCCCCUGCCUGGGGUCCCCCAGCCUGCCCCCCUCCUGUGCCCGCUGCCCUGUGCCUUCACUGACCCCAGACCACUCAGUGGGGCGUCUGGGAGCGAGCCCCCUUCCCUGCCCCUGGGCGCCAGCUGCCCUACCCCUCUCCUCUGCUCUGAGUAGCCCCUGUUUUCUCCUGUCCUGGAGCCGGGGGACAGGAAGGUGUGGGGGCCCAUGAGGGGACAGGUAGACCUGGAGGCAUCUGGAUCCUCAUGCAUCUUCCUCCCCCUCCGGCAUGUGCACGUGCCUCGCAAGGUGAGCCCCCGGGGACAGCCAGGGCCGGAGGGUCUGGAUGCCCAGCCAAGUGAAUAGCCCGGUUUUGAGCCCUGGCACCACACGGGAGUCCUGCAGUACAGGGGAAGCUCCACAGCUGUGGUCUGUGUCUGUCCAUCUGUAGAUCCAAAAUGAAAAAACGGAGAGUCCGUCCCAGGGCGGUGGGGGCACAUCCACACACA
This is a long non-coding RNA of Erinaceus europaeus (western European hedgehog), 3208 nucleotides long. RefSeq lists it as uncharacterized. The transcript is spliced from 3 exons. The record is from RefSeq and is a predicted model, not a curated record. NCBI's taxonomy places the organism in Eukaryota, Metazoa, Chordata, Mammalia, Eulipotyphla, Erinaceidae.